Molecule: long non-coding RNA, 445 nt
Organism: Macrobrachium nipponense
Lineage: Eukaryota; Metazoa; Arthropoda; Malacostraca; Decapoda; Palaemonidae
Exons: 3
Source: RefSeq, a predicted model, not a curated record
CUACAGAUGUCUUCGCGAUGAACCUUCUCCGGACUCCAAUGAAGGCCCCUGUCUGGUUGAGUGCAGCCUUGGACGGUCUCCACUUGUGGAAAGUGCUCACGGUCUGCCUGAACGUGAAAGUCUACUUUGCCGUUUAUGACAGGGUUGCCAUCAUUUGCCUAGCGAGUGAUAAGGCACUGGCAGUUCAAGAAGAGUGGGCCUACGUCAAGCAAGGGUCGAGUCUUUUCAAGUCCAACGUCUCCAUAACCCCCUUCCGAUGGAACCACAUCUGCGUCACCUUCGGCCAAGAAGUAUCGUACUACAUCGAUGGGAAACGGGAACCGAUGACGGAAGACAGCGACUCGAAGUCGAACACAACGACUUCUGGUUUCUGGCCCGUAGACUAUUUGUUCCUCAACUUCCCCCCAAGUACGGACAAGACAGUUGGAGGGUUUGGUGGCUACGC